This 861-nucleotide long non-coding RNA is filed under the name Coturnix japonica (Japanese quail). Its description in RNAcentral is "lncRNA (ENSCJPG00005015954.1)". Lineage: Eukaryota; Metazoa; Chordata; Aves; Galliformes; Phasianidae. The record is from RNAcentral.
GACUUUACAGACAAUUUCCAGUUAUUGUUUCGCUCCGGAGAGAAAAGGAAAAAAAAAAAAAAAAAAAAAAAAAAAGAAAAAAAAAAAAGAGGGGCUUUUCUCCCCAACCCACAUAAUGGAACGCUUUUGUGUGGCGCAGAACAAUACCAAACAAGUAUUCUAAUAAAUAGCCACUUUUUUGUUCCGUGCCGGCGGUGAAUGGAACUGAGCAGUUGGUUCGGGAGCAGCUGGAGCCGGGCGGGGGGGGGGAAGGGGGGGAGCGCCGCUGCCUCCCCUCUGCCUUCCCUCUCCCUGCACCUCCCUCUCCCCUUCCCCACCCCUCCCCGGGGAAGCGAUGCUCACGCAAAGGAAUGGAGAAGAGCCCCCCAGCGUGACAACCGCUGGGGGAAAGGCAGUCGGGAGCGGUGAUUAAAAUGGACACAAAUCCGCUAAAGACUUCCAGGGCUACAACGAAGCACAGAGAGGAAAAAUGGGAAUUCCUCUCAUGAUUCCUUAUAGGGAUGGCAUCCAAUUCCCCAGGAUGCGGCUGUGCCCACAGUAUCAGUUUGGAAGUGAAAGAUGCCUCUUCCUAAACAAGUAGGCGCGGGGGGAUUAAAUUGUACACAUUUAAACGAAGUAUCUUUAGAAUUAUUCGUAUUCGGAAUUAACCGGGGCUUAAACACAGACUGAGCUGAUUUUCGUGUCGGGAACGCGAGAUCCGCACGUCUCUGGACAGCGUUAAACGAGUGGAGGAAUGCACCCGGAGUGGGUAUUGAUCACACGCGGCGAGCGCUGCCUGCUGCCUUUAAGCCCCGUUUCAUCUGAAUUCUCCCACCCUCCAAACAAUAAUAACAACAAUAAAGCCCCCCAAACCAAACCCCA